AUUGAACGCUGGCGGCAGGCCUAACACAUGCAAGUCGAACGGUAACAGGGAUCAGCUUGCUGAUUCGCUGACGAGUGGCGGACGGGUGAGUAAUGUCUGGGAAACUGCCUGAUGGAGGGGGAUAACUACUGGAAACGGUAGCGAAUACCGCAUAACGGCGCAAGACCAAAGAGGGGGACCUUCGGGCCUCUUGCCAUCGGAUGUGCCCAGAUGGGAUUAGCUAGUAGGUGGGGUAACGGCUCACCUAGGCGACGAUCCCUAGCUGGUCUGAGAGGAUGACCAGCCACACUGGAACUGAGACACGGUCCAGACUCCUACGGGAGGCAGCAGUGGGGAAUAUUGCACAAUGGGCGCAAGCCUGAUGCAGCCAUGCCGCGUGUAUGAAGAAGGCCUUCGGGUUGUAAAGUACUUUCAGCGGGGAGGAAGGGAGUAAAGUUAAUACCUUUGCUCAUUGACGUUACCCGCAGAAGAAGCACCGGCUAACUCCGUG
Molecule: ribosomal RNA, 490 nt
Filed under: uncultured bacterium
Lineage: Bacteria
Description: partial 16S ribosomal RNA
Rfam family: Bacterial small subunit ribosomal RNA
Source: RNAcentral